CCUACGGGUGGCAGCAGUGAGGAAUAUUGGUCAAUGGGCUUACGCCUGAACCAGCCAAGUCGCGUGAGGGAAGACUGCCCUAUGGGUUGUAAACCUCUUUUGUCAGGGAGCAAUUGGCGCUACGUGUAGCGUUAUCGAGAGUACCUGAAGAAAAAGCAUCGGCUAACUCCGUGCCAGCGGCCGCGGUAAUACGGAGGAUGCGAGCGUUAUCCGGAUUUAUGGGGUUUAAAGGGUGCGUAGGCGGAAUGCCAAGUCAGCGGUAAAAUCGCGGGGCUCAACCUCGAUCCGCCGUUGAAACUGGCGUUCUUGAGUGGGCGAGAAGUAGGCGGAAUGCGUGGUGUAGCGGUGAAAUGCAUAGAUAUCACGCAGAACUCCGAUGGCGAAGGCAGCAUACCGGCGCCCAACUGACGCUGAAGCACGAAAGCGUGGGUAUCGAACAGGAUUAGAUACCCGAGUAGUC
RNAcentral lists this ribosomal RNA (460 nucleotides) under uncultured bacterium. RNAcentral describes it as "partial 16S ribosomal RNA". It matches the Rfam family "Bacterial small subunit ribosomal RNA", at positions 338 to 795 of the family's 1533-position model. The record is from RNAcentral.